AACACCAACAUGUUCUCUUUAUCUCUGCUGUUGCUUCUGUUGGCUGCUGGAUCUCAUGUGAAGUCUGAACAACUGACACAGCCUGCCUCCUUAGCUAUGCAGGCAGGUCAGCGUCUGACCAUUACCUGCCAGGUCUCCUUUUCUGUCAGCACCUAUCGAACAAAUUGGAUCAGACAGCCUGUUGGAAAAGGACUGGAGUGGAUUGGUAGCGCACACAUUGGAUAUCCCACGUUUUACAAAGAUUCACUAAAGAAUAGGUUUAGUAUGACCUUACAGGAUUCCAGUAAAACAAUGACCCUUAAUGGACAGAAUAUGCAGCCUGAAGACUCAGCUGUGUAUUACUGUGCCAGAUACGACCACAGUGACACAAACAAGCAGCAGAGCUGAACAAAAAC
Molecule: non-coding RNA, 395 nt
Organism: Xiphophorus couchianus (Monterrey platyfish)
Lineage: Eukaryota; Metazoa; Chordata; Actinopteri; Cyprinodontiformes; Poeciliidae
Source: the annotation of a RefSeq genome assembly